CUGGGAGGACCAUCUCCUAAGGCUAAAUACUCUCUAGUGACCGAUAGUGAACCAGUACCGUGAGGGAAAGGUGAAAAGCACCCCGGAAGGGGAGUGAAAUAGAACCUGAAACCGUGUGCUUACAAGUAGUCAGAGCCCGUUAAUGGGUGAUGGCGUGCCUUUUGUAGAAUGAACCGGCGAGUUACGAUUUGAUGCAAGGUUAAGCAGUAAAUGUGGAGCCGUAGCGAAAGCGAGUCUGAAUAGGGCGUUUAGUAUUUGGUCGUAGACCCGAAACCAGGUGAUCUACCCUUGGUCAGGUUGAAGUUCAGGUAACACUGAAUGGAGGACCGAACCGACUUACGUUGAAAAGUGAGCGGAUGAACUGAGGGUAGCGGAGAAAUUCCAAUCGAACCUGGAGAUAGCUGGUUCUCUCCGAAAUAGCUUUAGGGCUAGCCUCAAGUGAUGAUUAUUGGAGGUAGAGCACUGUUUGGACGAGGGGCCCCUCUCGGGUUACCGAAUUCAGACAAACUCCGAAUGCCAAUUAAUUUAACUUGGGAGUCAGAACAUGGGUGAUAAGGUCCGUGUUCGAAAGGGAAACAGCCCAGACCACCAGCUAAGGUCCCAAAAUAUAUGUUAAGUGGAAAAGGAUGUGGCGUUGCCCAGACAACUAGGAUGUUGGCUUAGAAGCAGCCAUCAUUUAAAGAGUGCGUAAUAGCUCACUAGUCGAGUGACACUGCGCCGAAAAUGUACCGGGGCUAAACAUAUUACCGAAGCUGUGGAUUGUCCUUUGGACAAUGGUAGGAGAGCGUUCUAAGGGCGUUGAAGCAUGAUCGUAAGGACAUGUGGAGCGCUUAGAAGUGAGAAUGCCGGUGUGAGUAGCGAAA
Molecule: ribosomal RNA, 863 nt
Filed under: Staphylococcus aureus
Lineage: Bacteria; Bacillati; Bacillota; Bacilli; Caryophanales; Staphylococcaceae
Description: partial 23S ribosomal RNA
Rfam family: Bacterial large subunit ribosomal RNA
Source: RNAcentral